This 530-nucleotide ribosomal RNA is filed under the name Priestia flexa. Its description in RNAcentral is "bacterial SSU rRNA". It matches the Rfam family "Bacterial small subunit ribosomal RNA", at positions 544 to 1071 of the family's 1533-position model. The record is from RNAcentral. Lineage: Bacteria; Bacillati; Bacillota; Bacilli; Caryophanales; Bacillaceae.
UCCGGAAUUAUUGGGCGUAAGCGCGCGCAGGCGGUUUCUUAAGUCUGAUGUGAAAGCCCACGGCUCAACCGUGGAGGGUCAUUGGAAACUGGGGAACUUGAGUGCCGAAGAGAAAAGCGGAAUUCCACGUGUAGCGGUGAAAUGCGUAGAGAUGUGGAGGAACACCAGUGGCGAAGGCGGCUUUUUGGUCUGUAACUGACGCUGAGGCGCGAAAGCGUGGGGAGCAAACAGGAUUAGAUACCCUGGUAGUCCACGCCGUAAACGAUGAGUGCUAAGUGUUAGAGGGUUUCCGCCCUUUAGUGCUGCAGCUAACGCAUUAAGCACUCCGCCUGGGGAGUACGGUCGCAAGACUGAAACUCAAAGGAAUUGACGGGGGCCCGCACAAGCGGUGGAGCAUGUGGUUUAAUUCGAAUCAACGCGAAGAACCUUACCAGGUCUUGAGGUGGUGUGACAACUCUAGAGAUAGAGCGUUCCCCUUCGGGGGACAGAGUGACAGGUGGUGCAUGGUUGUCGUCAGCUCGUGUCGUGAG